UGCAGAGCUUUGUUUGUGUGCAUUCUUGUGCCUUAUAUAUUUGGGUUUUAAUGUAUUUACAGAUGGUUCCAUACCGAGAUUCAAAGUUAACCCAUCUGUUCAAGAACUACUUUGAUGGGGAAGGUAAAGUAAGCAUGAUCGUGUGUGUGAAUCCAAAGGCUGAAGAUUAUGAAGAGUGCUUGCAAGUCACAAGAUUUGCAGAAGUGACCCAAGAAGUUGAAGUGGCAAGACCAGUGGACAAGGCAAUAUAUGUGGUUUGACGCCUGGAAGGAGAUACCAAAAUCAGGCUUGGGGAGGACCAGUUGGAGAUGCUAUACCUGCGUGAGCAAACCACCAAAGCAGUCAGUUCACAGCUACGUGCAGUGUUUACAAGCCAGAUCCUGAAGAGUGGUCUGCCUUCCCAGAAUGAGAUUUUAGAGAAGACAACUACGAUCUAUGAAGACGACAAGCGUACUUUGCAACAGGAACUCGAGACUCAGAACCAGAACCUUUAGCAGCAGUUUUCUGACAAGCACAGACUAGAAGCCAGGCUACAAGCAAGGCAUGGUGACAACCAACCAUUAAGUGGGAGAAAGAAUGCGUGAGUGUCGCUCCUGCGGGAUGGUGGCUGACUUCCACCCGAGGUAUUCCGAAUCCAUGUUCCUAGGCUUAGGGUUUUGGUGGUGGUGGUAGCAGGAGCCACCAUUCAGUACAUUCUGUCUCCUUUCUUUGCCCUUAAAAUGGCUGACCAGAGAGCCGACAUGACAAGAUGUGCUUGACUCUGGGAAGACUGUCAUUCUU
Molecule: long non-coding RNA, 780 nt
Organism: Neogale vison (American mink)
Lineage: Eukaryota; Metazoa; Chordata; Mammalia; Carnivora; Mustelidae
Exons: 3
Source: RefSeq, a predicted model, not a curated record